GGGGAAGAAGGAGAAGAAGAAGAAGAAUUUUAAGAGGUUUUACGAGUUCUCUUCCAUGGCUUUUUUCUGUCCAGGCUGUUACUGUGGAGUGUGGGAAUUGGGUUGUCACAGAAGCCUUCUGUGUCUCUCUUCCUCAACCAUGAGUCUGCAGUCAUCAAUAGCACUCCAAAGGUAGCUUCUUUGCUCUUUACAGUCAAAGGGAGCACUAAUUGGAUUUGAGACAAUUGGUUAAGAAAGACAAGAAUCUUCCACUUCAGGCUCAGCUCAGCAAAGUAGAGACAUCUCAGCUUACUACUCAGCCUAAAAUGCAGAACUCACUAUGUAGUGACAGCUACAAGCUUCCCAGGAAGGACCCAGGAGCCUGGACCCAGGACCUCUGCAACAGAACAUGGAGAAUGUUCUGCCUACCAAGAGGAGAAGACAGUCAAUGCUGCGCCCGAAAGAUGGGGAAUCAGACUGGAAGAAUGAUCUAAUGUUGGAUUUAAUAGAAAAAAAUUUUAGUCACCAUAGUUGUUUCCAGAAUGAAAGGAAGACGUGACAAAAGAUGUAAAGGGGGCUGUGGAAGACACCUGUCAUCACAGCACUGCAGGAGAACUGUGGGGGCUGAGGCAGGAGGAUGCCUUGUGUUUGGUAGUUUGAGGCUAGCCUCAGCUAAACACUCAGACCCUGUCUAAAGAAUUAAAAUUCUGUCUUGAAAAUGGUAGAAAUAAAAACCAAUGCAUUCACUGAAGGAUCUCAACAGUAGAUCCAGACCAAUAGAACGAGGAAUAAGAAAGCUUGGAACGAGCUAGAUGGCAGAAGGGACAUGUGAGGCAAGCAGCCAGAGAAACACUACUAUCAAGAGUAACAGUGGUGCUAGAACUGGGGGAAAGGCCAGAGGAUGGGUAAAAAUGCAUAAAAUUUAUGAAACUUACUUUUAAAAACUGAUAACAUAUAUACCCAGAAAUUCCAAAUAAGAGAUUUACAAAUAGACAAAUGCUGGCAAAACAAUGCUAAAAAUCAAACAAGAGGAACACAUGAAAGCAGCAAGAAGACAUGUUGGGACUCAUGGGCGAACAGGACCCGUGUGACAGCUGCUGCUUCUGAGUGGAAACAGCAAAGAUCAGAGAUACGGUGCUCAAAGGAAAACCCAGCAGCCAAGAGCUGUCUUUCAAUAAUGAAGACAAAAUAAAGACAAAUUUUUCAAGGUUAAAAACUUACUGAAUAGUAUAGACAUUAGUGGAAGGCUUUCUUCAGGCAGAGAGCAAAUGAUACUGCAUGAUUGUUGGAAUACACACGAAGCCGCUCCACAGUAUGCUUACCUCUGUUUUCCAUGCAUAAGGCCCUGAGUUCAAGCCUCAGUAGGACCAGGUGCUGGACUAUUAAUCUUAGACUCAGUGCAGCUCAGUGGGGGAGCACUUUGUAGUAUGUAUGAACACACACACACACACACACACACACACACACACACACACUAUAAACACCAAUAAAGAUAAUUCUAUAAUUUUUGUAUGGAUGUAUAUUUCUCAGAUCUUCACAGAUAUAGAAAACAAUUUGCAUAAAACAAAUGAUAUAUUAUACAAUGUUGGGGCUACAACAGAUGGAGACGCAUUUGUCCAUAAAUAGCACAAAAGAAUUGGAUGGCUGCAAAGUAGUGUAAUGCCAACUAUGAUCACAGCUGGUAAGUAAUCAUAGCAAUAUUUGUUAGACUUGUGACUUUAGCAUACAGGGUAAGCAAACACACACAAAUAAAGAUUGAGGGGAGCAGUAAUCAGUACAAUCAAGCUGAUAUAAACCCUAAACUAAUUCUGAUAAGCUAAAAGGUGUGUGUGUGUGUGUGUGUGUGUGUGUGUGUGUGUGUGUGUGUGUGUGUGUGUGUGUGUAUGUUUCUAGCAUGAGCCCUAUGGGGAGGAAAACAAUUUCUAGAAAGGAUCUGGGGAGAUGACUCAGUGAGUAAAAUACAUGAGAAUCUGAGUUUGAGCCCCCAGAACCCAAGCUAAUAAGUAAACAGAAGCUGGUAGUCAUCUAAGAACCUAUGGCUGGAGAGUUCAUAGAGGCUAGAGGAGAACCUACUAUUAUUUUGCUGGCACGGCAGCUAUCAAACUGACAUCUAGACACUCAGAUGUAUACACGUAGAUUAGCCCAGCCCUCAGCCCUCAUCAGAGAAAGCUCGGUUUCACAAUGGUCAUCCAUUACCAUAGUGACUCACAGCUGAUCGGAGAGCAGCAUAUGAGUAACCGUGAAGCCGUCAGUCCUAAGUGGGACAUCCCUAGCACAUCCCCUUCCCACCCAGCUCAGGAAGCAUCCAGGGUUGGGGAGGAGUGUGGUGAGAAGCGUCUUUCAGACGGGACAAGGCUGCUGCACAGCUGUAGCCACCACACAACACUAGCACAAGAUCUAACUAGGCUCAACCCCAGCCCAGACAGACGGAGGGAGGGCCGUGACGACCGGCCAUCUGAAGACUUUGGCAGGUGAAGUUUCCUAGGCUCAGGAGAGUUGGUUGUCUUCAGGGGAGGAAGUGGCACCUGGUAUUGCGUGUGCUCCGGUGGGUGGCCCCACACGCGAGCACAGAAAGAUGGUGUGGAUACUAUUCCGUAAGUUAUCAAAAGAGGACAUGAAGCUGGGGAGAGGUUUUGGGCAUGUAUAAAAUUCUACAAGAUUAAACGUUUUAAAAGAGCUUUUAGAAGGUGGAUGUGGUGGUAUGUACACUGAGUGGCAAAGACAAGAAGGACCUGUGGGCUUGCUAGCCAACUAGGCUGUCCAAUCAGUGAACUCCAGAUUCAUUGAGAGGGGGGGAGAGAGAGAGAGAUGGGGGGGAGAGGGAGAGGGAGAGGAGGAGGAGAGGAAGAAGAGGAAGAAGAGGGAGAAAAGAAGAAGAAAGUUCUUAAAUCACCAUUUCUAGAUGGUCACAAGAAAAAGAACAAAUUAAUCUAGAGCAGUGGUUCUCAACCUUCCUGACACUGUGACCUUUUAAUACAGUUCGUCAUGCUGUGAACCUGCAUAACCCAACCAUAAAAGUUAUUUUGUUCCUGCUUCAUAACUAAAAUUUUGCUACUCUUAUGAAUCAUAGUGUAAAUAUCUGAUAUACAGGACAUCUGAUAUGUGACCCCUGUAGAAUCGGUGGUGGCCCAAACCCCUGGGUAGCCCAGGGACGCUCCCUCAGCAACUACAUGCCUCUCUGUCCACCUCCGUUGUACCUUCCGUACCUGCUGUACCUGCGGUGUCUCCAUUUCCACCUCUCAGCCAGCUUGACCUGCCAAUACUUAUUACAACGAGUCAUUGAUCGGGUUCACGGUUUCCGGAGCACCACAAACGUUGAAAUAUUGCUGAAACUCAUCUCUGCUAUCCCGUUGUUGCUCAGAGUCAGAGUGAUUGCGCAGCUGGACAGCUCAUCUGGGGACAGGACCCUGGUGAGCCCCAGGCCUCGUCACAACCCCCUGCCCUCAGUGCCAGCCACCCCACUGGCACCCAGGGUGCGAUCACUGAUCAUCCUGCUUUCAUCCACGGGCAGUGCUGAGACCCUACGCUCUCCUCCCUGCUUCUCCUAACAGGGCAAACAGCACAAGCAGCAGAAAGACACCUACACAUUAUGAAUCCUGCUCACUAACUUCUCGAAAUAGAAUUUCAACAUGAAUUCAUUCCCUGCCACUCAGCCCUGAGCUUCCAUGUACCCCUGUGUAUCAAGGACCCCAAAUCUGAGCCAACAUUUUCCUGAAAUGCAGACAAGUCAGAAGCAGAGGCUCGCCAUGUGUGCCAGAGUUCUCCAGGCGUCUCCACGGCUGUCCAGCCAGACUCCGUGGAGAUGAUCCAGGAAUCUGCAGUUUUGGGCAAGCCUUCACUCAACUGGUUCAUCUGUGGCUACAACCAUGUAUCCCAUGGGCCUGAAGCCCACCAAAGUUUGUUCAGAUGCUGCCCCAAGAAUACUUGGCACAUAACAUCCUCGAGUGUGAUAAAACUCACAAGACAACCCAAUGUGAAGAUCCUUCAUCGUUAACUGCUAAUGUGGUUGGGGACAUAGACGGAAGGUGGGUGGCAGCAGGGGCCAGACUCUCAAGGCUCAGAGCCCAGGCAGGGCUGCUGGGCUUGGAAUUCCGGGGCAUUUACAACAUCUUGAUUGUAUUUGAGAGAUCAGAUCUUUUUAAGUUCAGACUCCACUCAUGACCUGAGUUUGAAUUCAGGUAAGCUAACAGGCUGGUACCUAGCAUAGUUUCCAAGUUAUCCCCAUCCCCCCCAACAUAACCCGAGCCUAGCUCCAGUUUCUGGGAUAUCACCAACAAAUCCAGCAUGUCCAGGUUAAUCCCGAACGAGCCCACCCCCUGCCUAAUAACCACCUAUGCAGAGGGAAGCAGAAGUUAAGUUUAUGGUUUGACUCCCAGCGCCAGCCAGUGAUGCUAAAGACCACAGUAGCUCUCCAAUUAGACAUUUGCCAGGCUAGAGACACUCAGCCCGCUCUUGCUGCUUUCUAUAAAACCUUACCCAGAUAGAUGUUCAGGGCUCCUCUCCACCCAAACCAUCCUGCAUGUCAGUGGUGGACUGAGGGGCCUGAACUAGUUCAAAUAAAGGCCCUGGUAUGAUUGCAUCAGAUCAGCUUUCGGCUGGUCUUUGGGGGUUCACUAACACUUAACACUUCCCUGGUACUACAGGCUGAGAGGUGCCUAAGAGACCAGAAAAGCCCACUUCUUUCUAUAAGGGCAUUCCCAGAGAUGAUUGGCAUGUUGGAGAAUAAAUGAGAGGGUAAAACUGGCCCUGAAUGUGGGUGGCACCAUCACCUAGACUGUAAUUUUCUACAACAGUAGCAUACUAGAGGCUUUUCAUAAGUGACCAGUAGCCUUUGAACCCUUCUUGACAAUACUAAGGCAUUAUAUGAAGAAGAAGAAAGGAUCUAGCACUGUCUUGUCUUGGGUCAUGGUGGAGAAGCUAUGAUUGGUUAAGUGACCUUUUCUAUGCAUCCUGAUUCUUUCAUCGGGAUAAACUCUCGUCCUUGUGAUGGUCCUGCAUAGCGUUUGGUGGUAUCCCUGUGAGAUCACGAUGUCACCCAGGAGCAGACAUGUGUCAUAUAGCCACAUUCCACUGACUAUGGCUAUCUCAGAAGACCCUAGACCUUAGACUGCCUAUCCAGAGUCCAGGGGUUGGGAAACCAUGGAGAUGUGCUAGGUCUGCUUGCAUGGUCUGACCUCCAUAGAUAGGAGCAGCAAGUAAACUAUUUCAGGUGCCAAACGAAAGUGUGAGGCCAGUCCCAGGCUGAAAUAUAAGCGGCACUGACCUAAGAGAUGUCAUGGCCAAGGUCUCUUUACACCAGCCCAAACAAAGGACUUCUAUGCCCUGGAAUCACUGUGACCCCAGGGCACCACGUUUGGUAUCAACAAUGUGAACUGAACAGGCUCUGUGUCUCAGGAAGGCUGGAUGCCGCAGUACGUAUCUGCAAUCCCAGCUCUGGAGAAAUCUCCCAGGCAGGAGAUCCACUGACCAGUCAGUAUAGCCAAAUUGGCAAGCUCCAAGUUCAGUGAGAGACCCUGUCUCAAAGAGUACAGUGGAGAAUGAUUGAGAAAGGCACUCAGAAUCUGGCCUCCUGACGCAUGUGUAAGCAUGUGCACUCACGCAUGUGUGCACACAUCCAUGGAUUCUAAUGCACACACAUACACAAUGGGAAAAUGAAAUAAUUUUGUCCCUAGUUACUAGGUGCUUUGGCAACUGAACAUUUUCUUAAGCUAAGCAUGCUUACCCCACAUGGAUACAAGCACAUGAUCUGGUAGCAACUGGAGUCACCAACACCAGCCCUUAGACACCAGCUGCCCGGUGGGCAGGGAGAGGCUUAGAGGUGGUCAAGCCUUGCCUCAACACAUUGAAGUCAUGUCAUAGGAGCCCAUAGCCCAAGGUGGCCCAAAGGUGGUCUUAAAUAUGAGCCUGAUACACAGUCGGAAAGUAGCAUAAAGGGGAGCUCUAAUCUUCUCCAUCUUAACUUACAUUUGCAUGUGUGCUUUUUAAUGGCUGCCCCUAUCAGUGUGUAAGUACAAAAGUAUUUUGUGCAUGCAUAAAUAUUACAAUACACACAGUAUACAAUACGCAGUGUCAUUUACUGGUGGGAGAUGCAAUCUAAAAGACUUAGUGACAGUGAGACUGUAGUACUUGUUCCUUAUGCUUGCUUAGAUGCCUGUCAGCACAUCUCCGUGUCUACUAAGCCUCUCACACUGAAUGCCAAGAGAGGACACUGGGAGCCAUUGGGGAUCUGGUAGCACUGAGUCUAAUGCACCCUAUUCUAGGCUAGGGUCUCUGGAAACCCCAGCCUUUUUGGGAAUGGAUACAGCGAUGCUCUGUAAGGGAAGGCUUGGGACAACCUUUCUUUGAGUAAGCCACUCUGGACUUCAAAUUCAUCCUCCCUAGAAGAGUAAGACGCACCUCAUGGCACUGAGGUGAGAUCACGUGAGAUAAAGGGAGACAGAGGUUAAGGGACUGUAAAGCCUCUCCCUCCCAUGGCCAGGCAUGGAGGUAAGGGAAUCCCCAUGCUGAGAGGCCUACUGCAGAAUGAGCCUGGCUUCCACUUAGCUGGACCAAAAGUUACACAUGUGAAAGUGGGCAAGGUACCUACUCUCCCUGUGCCUGCUGCUGACGUAGGCAGAUACAUUUGAGCUCCACAGAUCUCAUCUUGGCUCUGGCCGUAGGCCAUGCUGAACCUCAUUCUAUCUGCCUCCUACACUUCUACCCCACACUAGUACCCAGCCACUCACACCUGCCAUCAGCCAUCCCUACUGUCCUCAGGUUCCUACAUCUGCUGGAGAACUUCAAAGGCAAGGGCACCAUCACUCAUGCACAUAGAGGUAGGCACCCAUUCAGGGCACCCCAGGAUCCUCCCACCUCACAGGCAAAAGCUGACUCCCACCUCUUGCUUCCUUGUCUUGUACCCAGGCUGCUUCAUGUUUCCCUGCUAGAAAUAGAACAAGCCAAGGCUGCCUUGCCCAGUCACAGAGUCAGGAGCCUUGGGCUCUCUACAUCUAUCCAUUAAACACCUAGAAGCUCUUGACUACUUAGAAUGCACAACCCUUACACUUCCUAUCACCCCAGUCACCUUAAUGCAUGCUCAAACCCCAGGCCAAGGGCCCCAGAUGGUCUCCCCAGCUAUUUUCCUCUUAAGAACUUCUAGAGAACAUAGACUCCUUUGUCGGUUAAUCUCAAAGGGGCCAAAUGAGCCCCCACCCCUGUGAAGCAGGAGAAAGAGGAGUUUGCUCCAGGGUUUUGUGGGAAUGUAGAAGGAAAAUGAGGCAAGCUUGUCUUUGCCUUAAUCCAGGCCCGAGAAGGAUCCUCGUGGGUCAGAGGCCUCUGCCCCCUGUGGCUACUGCACAAGCUGCCUCUGUAGGGCUAGACUGUGCCUCUUGCUGUUCCACUGGAUCCAAGGUGAACACUUCCUCCUAAGUUGAAGGCUUCUCAUGCGUGGGCACAUGGAUCAUACACCCCACUCCAUGUCUCCUCCAGCCCAGCACAGUGUAUGGCACCCAGAGCCAUUCAUGCAUGCUGAAGUAAAACCUUAGGGCCAACCAGGCCCAACUCAGCAGUGUCUAACAAGUGGAUACUCAAUGCUCCCUAAUGGACUAAAAGACAGUCUAUUCCUGACCCUCUCCUGAAGACAGCCCCAGAUUCUAGAAGACCCUAAAAGUCAGCACUGAGCUUCCAUGUCGAAACGCAGCUUUUACUAAGUGAGAGAUCACCCUUGAUCCCGGGAAGGAAUGACUGAAAUGAGAGACGGACAGUACUGCCAGGGUCAGGUCAACAGGAUCUGCACACCCUUUCACUAUCAGAAUACCAAAGCCAGGUCAUCUGUGGUUUCACCCCCAGGGUGACACAUUUCCCUAUGUGGGCAUCCAAGCCAGGCAAUCUGUGCCUAAAUAUUGCCGAGCUGUGAAUAGGAAGCGCAGGGCAUG
Molecule: non-coding RNA, 7892 nt
Organism: Rattus norvegicus (Norway rat)
Lineage: Eukaryota; Metazoa; Chordata; Mammalia; Rodentia; Muridae
Source: RefSeq, a predicted model, not a curated record